CCCUUAGAUGUCCUGGGCCGCACGCGCGCUACACUGAGUGUCUGAGAUACGAGUCUGCCUGGUCCGGCAAGGUCUAGGUAAUCGCUAAAAGACACAUCAUGCUUGGGAUAGAUUAUUGCAAAUAUUAAUCUUGAACGAGGAAUUCCUAGUAAGCGCAAGUCAACAGCUUGCGUUGAUUACGUCCCUGCCCUUUGUACACACCGCCCGUCGCUACUACUGAUUGGAUGUUUAAGCGAGGUUCUCGAACUGCUAGCGACUUAGCUUCGGUGAGGUCGCAGUGUGGGAAGUGAACCUAGCUUUGGUGUCUAGAGGAAGUAAAAGACGUAACA
This 329-nucleotide ribosomal RNA is filed under the name uncultured eukaryote. Its description in RNAcentral is "partial 18S ribosomal RNA". It matches the Rfam family "Eukaryotic small subunit ribosomal RNA", at positions 1470 to 1796 of the family's 1831-position model. The record is from RNAcentral.